RNAcentral lists this ribosomal RNA (402 nucleotides) under uncultured bacterium. RNAcentral describes it as "bacterial SSU rRNA". It matches the Rfam family "Bacterial small subunit ribosomal RNA", at positions 355 to 753 of the family's 1533-position model. The record is from RNAcentral.
UAAGGAAUAUUGGUCAAUGGAGGGAACUCUGAACCAGCCAUGCCGCGUGAAGGAUGACGGCCCUCUGGGUUGUAAACUUCUUUUGGAUGGGGCGAAAAAACGGGAUUUAUCCUGGACUGACGGUACCAUCAGAAUAAGCACCGGCUAACUCCGUGCCAGCAGCCGCGGUAAUACGGAGGGUGCAAGCGUUAAUCGGAAUUACUGGGCGUAAAGGGUGCGCAGGCGGUUUUGCAAGUCAGAUGUGAAAGCCCCGGGCUUAACCUGGGAAUUGCGUUUGAAACUACAAGGCUAGAGUGCAGCAGAGGGGAGUGGAAUUCCAUGUGUAGCAGUGAAAUGCGUAGAGAUGUGGAAGAACACCGAUGGCGAAGGCAGCUCCCUGGGGUUGACACUGACGCUCAUGCA